Molecule: non-coding RNA, 84 nt
Organism: Xyrichtys novacula (pearly razorfish)
Lineage: Eukaryota; Metazoa; Chordata; Actinopteri; Labriformes; Labridae
Source: the annotation of a GenBank genome assembly
AUUGUCGAUGAUGAUGAUCUUUUAACCCAAUGCUCGAGUUUAACGACCAUGAGAAAACUCACAUGCACUACCAUCUGAGACGGU